GUCAUUUCUGUCCAAGUGUUGGGGCGGCCGGGUAUCAGACAAGGAGCUGACAAUCAACAGUGGUUUCCUUGACCAGCUUGAGCAUGGAGACCAGGUUAUGGCUGAUCGAGGAUUUCUUAUCCGAGAGGAACUUCUCUGCAGAGGAGCAAGCCUUGUUAUCCCAGCAUUCACGAAGGGCAAAAAUCAGCUUAGCCACAAGGAAGUCAUCAGAUCACGCAAGAUUGCCAAUGUCAGAAUCCAUGUGGAACGGGCUAUUGGCCGUAUGAAGAAAUUCCGGAUUCUGAACACAACAUGGGAUUUUAGUCUGGUGAAGAAUGCUGACAACAUUGUUGUAAUCAUUGCUGCUCUUGUAAAUCUUCUACCUCCAUUAGUGAAAUAAGAUUUCAUUUGUUGCCCCUACAUUUAUUUUAUCCUUUUUGUUGAGAGUCUGCAUUUCAUUUUUUUUUUAAAAAAGCUCUCUGGAAAAGGGCACUUUAAAUGUGCCACAUAAAUCAGAUUUUGCCAUAGCAUUGUAAUUUGACACAACUUCAUUUUUAUGACUUUGCAGACUUUUCUGACAUUACAUUUUUUUAGCAGCUCCUUGGAGAGAAAAAAGGCACUCCGUUUUAAUGUGCUACAGAAAUAAAGAGACAAUUUGCAUAGCGUUGUCACGUUUGCAUUACUUUGCAGAUUUUUGUGACUCAAUGAACUGGGGUAGAAAAUAGGAAUAAAAGAAGUCAUGUAAUCUGCA
Long non-coding RNA from Melanotaenia boesemani (Boeseman's rainbowfish), 730 nucleotides. RefSeq lists it as uncharacterized. Lineage: Eukaryota; Metazoa; Chordata; Actinopteri; Atheriniformes; Melanotaeniidae. The record is from RefSeq and is a predicted model, not a curated record. The transcript is spliced from 3 exons.